UGGGGAAUUUUCCGCAAUGGGCGAAAGCCUGACGGAGCAAUACCGCGUGAGGGAUGACAGCCUGUGGGUUGUAAACCUCUUUUCUCAAGGAAGAAGUUCUGACGGUACUUGAGGAAUAAGCAUCGGCUAACUCUGUGCCAGCAGCCGCGGUAAUACAGAGGAUGCAAGCGUUAUCCGGAAUCACUGGGCAUAAAGCGUCUGUAGGUUGUUUAGUAAGUCUGCUGUUAAAGACUAGGGCUUAACCCUAGGCCAGCAGUGGAAACUGCUAGACUUGAGUGUGGUAGAGGUAGAGGGAAUUCCUAGUGUAGCGGUGAAAUGCGUAGAUAUUAGGAAGAACACCAAUGGCGAAAGCACUCUACUGGGCCACAACUGACACUGAGAGACGACAGCUAGGGGAGCAAACG
RNAcentral lists this ribosomal RNA (404 nucleotides) under uncultured bacterium. Its description in RNAcentral is "bacterial SSU rRNA". It matches the Rfam family "Bacterial small subunit ribosomal RNA", at positions 355 to 774 of the family's 1533-position model. The record is from RNAcentral.